Molecule: ribosomal RNA, 373 nt
Filed under: uncultured organism
Description: partial 16S ribosomal RNA
Rfam family: Bacterial small subunit ribosomal RNA
Source: RNAcentral
GAACCGUCCAAACGUUUAUUCGGAAUCACUGGGCUUAAAGGGUACGUAGGCGGCCCGGAAAGUUGGGUGUGAAAUCCCUCGGCUCAACCGAGGAACUGCGCUCAAAACUUCCGGGCUUGAGGGAGACAGAGGUGAGCGGAACUUGCGGUGGAGCGGUGAAAUGCGUUGAUAUCGCAAGGAACACCAGUAGCGAAGGCGGCUCACUGGGUCUCUUCUGACGCUGAGGUACGAAAGCUAGGGGAGCGAACGGGAUUAGAUACCCCGGUAGUCCUAGCUGUAAACGAUGAGCACUUGGUUGGAGGCUCCCUCCAUAGGCUUCCAGCCGAAGCGAAAGUGUUAAGUGCUCCGCCUGGGGAGUAUGGUCGCAAGGCUG